This 73-nucleotide transfer RNA is filed under the name Dipodomys ordii (Ord's kangaroo rat). It matches the Rfam family "tRNA". From Rfam's summary of the family: Transfer RNA (tRNA) molecules are approximately 80 nucleotides in length. Their secondary structure includes four short double-helical elements and three loops (D, anti-codon, and T loops). The record is from Rfam by way of RNAcentral. Lineage: Eukaryota; Metazoa; Chordata; Mammalia; Rodentia; Heteromyidae.
GGGGGUGUGGCUCAAGUGAUAGAGUGCCAGCCUAACAAGCACAAGGCCCUGAGUUCAAAUCCCAGCAUCCCCU